GGAGUGGACAGGCUUAGAAAUAGGCUCUCCUUCGGGCCGCUUCCAGGUGCUGCAUGCAAUUCGUCAGCUCGUGCCGUGAGGUGUUAGGUUAAGUCCUGCAACGAGCGCAACCCCUGUCACUAGUUGCUACAUUAAGUUGAGGACUCUAGUGAGAC
This 155-nucleotide ribosomal RNA is filed under the name uncultured bacterium. Its description in RNAcentral is "partial 16S ribosomal RNA". It matches the Rfam family "Bacterial small subunit ribosomal RNA", at positions 987 to 1149 of the family's 1533-position model. The record is from RNAcentral.